This 253-nucleotide ribosomal RNA is filed under the name uncultured bacterium. RNAcentral's name for it is "partial 16S ribosomal RNA". It matches the Rfam family "Bacterial small subunit ribosomal RNA", at positions 524 to 776 of the family's 1533-position model. The record is from RNAcentral.
UACGAAGGGGGCUAGCGUUGUUCGGAAUCACUGGGCGUAAAGGGCGCGUAGGCGGCUUUAUAAGUCGGGUGUGAAAUCCCUGGGCUCAACCUAGGAACUGCAUCCGAAACUGAUCACCUUGAGUAGUGGAGAGGAAAGCGGAAUUCCGGGUGUAGAGGUGAAAUUCGUAGAUAUCCGGAGGAACACCAGUGGCGAAGGCGGCUUUCUGGACACUAACUGACGCUGAGAUGCGAAAGCGUGGGGAGCAAACAGG